GUUUAGUUAACGAUGUGACUGGGAGGAAUUCAUGGACCAGUUGGGACUUACCUCGGACGUGCUUUGGAGUAUCGUUGCUAUGGCGAUAAAGGAUCGUGCUGCUGUUCGGUAGAGGAGGGACUACAGAAAGAUGUACAGCUUCAGAGGAGGGAAUUCCGUGUUCCAGCCGCCUGGGAAGCCGUUCAGCCGACCAGAGUCCGCUCUUCCAGAACCAGAACCCAUGCAGGUGGAUCCUACUGGUCUCUCACUGUCAGAGCGUCAUGGAAGACUUACUCUAGGAUUGUGUCUAUACUGUGGAGCAUCGGGGCAUACCAUCAUCUCAUGCCCCAUUCGCCCACCACCACACCUGUCUCAGCCCUCCUCCAUUCCGGAUUAACUAAUUAAACCACAUAAGUCCGUCCCACACCACUGUAUUAAUAGAUAAAGUGCUGUGAUCUGAUAAAACAUUUAAUAAGGUGUUAAUAUGAUCAAUUCUGCUCAUAAAACAUUUCUCAGUAAUGAAUGAAAUGAAAAAAAUGUACCUUUUUUUUUUUUUCUUUUUUUUUGUGUUUACAAUGUUAACAAACUUAUUCAUGCUGUACCUGUUCCAUCCUCCACAUUUUGCUCACCUAGUUUCUCUGGCACAUCCUUCUCUACCUUUUCACACAAAUGGACACUGAGCUGCUCACUAGGGAGGAAUCAUGUAUGAAAGUUACCACUUGCUUACUUGAUCCCCUCCCUACAAGCUUGUUUAAAUCCUGUUUGUAUUCAUUGUGCCCUGCUGUUCUCAGUAUUGUAAAUGAUUCCUGCAGACUGGUGUUGUGCCAGCAGCGUUGACUGGUGACUGGUUUUGUCUGUACGGGUGUUCCUCAGGGUUCCAUCUUAGGCCCCUUACUUUUUAGCAUGUACAUAUUUCCACUUGGAUUGCUUUUAAGAUCACUUGGGCUUAAUUAUCACUUUUAUGCGGACGACACUCAGAUUUAUAUUCACUCUAAGCCUAAUCAAAAUUUGGACCUUUCUUUUUUAACACACUGUAUCGCUGAGACAAAAACGUGUCUCAAAAUUGUUUGUUCCUCAACGCUGAUAAGACAGAGCUUGUCUUGCUUAUUGGUGCCCCUCACCAGCUUCGCAAAGCUGGCUCACUGUUUCUAAACGUAGAUGGCUCUGUUCUGGAAGUACAAACCAAAUGAAAAAAUCUAGGAGUAAUCUUUGAUUCAAGUUUGUCUUUUGACCCUCACGUUCGGCACAUUGUAAAGAACUCAUUUUUUCAUCUCAGAAAUAUGGCUAGACUUCACCCUAUGUUAUCCCGUUCAGUGACUGAAAGGCUUAUUAAGACUUUUGUGUUCUCCCGCUUUGACUAUUGCAAUGCACUUCUGGCUGGGGUUCCUAAAUCCACACUUAAUAAACUGCAAUGUGUGCAAAAUUCAGCUGCUAGGAUCCUGACUGGAGUCAGGCAAAAUGAGCACAUUACACCAAUUCUCAAGUCCUUGCACUGGCUUCAGGUCAGGUUCUGAGUAGAUUUUAAAGUCCUCAUGCUUACAUACGAGGCACUGCAUGGUCUUGCCCCCCGGUAUCUGUGUGCACUUUUAACUUUAUACACACCCAAGCGUUACUUCUGCUCCUCACAAGCAGGACUGUUGGUAGUCCCACAGACACGGCUGUGUUCUGUAGGGGAUUGGGCUUUUUCCUCGUACGCGCCUAGACUUUGGAACGCAAUCCGUCCUCACAUCAGAGGCACCCAGAACUUUAGUACUUUUAAAUCUCUUUUAAAAACUCGUUUUUUUAGGGUAGCUUUUUCUUGACUACUUUAUUUUUGUGUGUGUAUUACUUGUUUUACUUUGAGUGUGUUGUAUUCUUAUUUGUUUUUUAUGUAAAGUGCAUAGAAGGUGUAUAAGUGCAUAGACAUUGUAGUUCCAGCCUGAAGAAACAUUGCACUAAGAGACUCACAAUUUAACUAAAACUUUUUUAAUUUUUUUAUCUUCAAUGUUUAACAAUUAACAUAAUGAUAUUUACGUAACAUAAUUCAAAACAUAAACGGAACACAACUCGUAAACGGAACACAACUCAAACAAUCUUCUAUAAUGUACUGUAUAAAAUAAUAUACAACAAUACACUUGAACAAAACAAUAACAAUAAACAUAACUGAACUAUAUGAUUAACAUGGAACAAAACAACUCAAAAGGGAACAAAACAGACAAGGACCAUUGCAAUGUUGCUAAUGAUGUUUAGCAUCCUGCGGUUUCCCACAUUGUUCAGAUCUGUGCUCAUAGGGGAU
Tachysurus vachellii is the source of this 2254-nucleotide long non-coding RNA. RefSeq lists it as uncharacterized. NCBI's taxonomy places the organism in Eukaryota, Metazoa, Chordata, Actinopteri, Siluriformes, Bagridae. The record is from RefSeq and is a predicted model, not a curated record. The transcript has 3 exons.